UACGUAGGAGGCGAGCGUUGUCCGGAAUUACUGGGCGUAAAGAGCGCGUAGGCGGCACGGUACGACCGGUGUGAAAGCCCCCGGCUCAACUGGGGAGGGUCACCAGUAACGGCCGAGCUAUGAGUGCAGGAGAGGGAAGUGGAACUCCGGGAGUAGCGGUGAAAUGCGUAGAGACCCGGAGGAACACCAGUGGCGAAGGCGGCUUCCUGGUCUGCAACUGACGCUGUGGCGCGAAAGCUAGGGGAGCAAACGGG
RNAcentral lists this ribosomal RNA (254 nucleotides) under uncultured bacterium. Its description in RNAcentral is "partial 16S ribosomal RNA". It matches the Rfam family "Bacterial small subunit ribosomal RNA", at positions 524 to 776 of the family's 1533-position model. The record is from RNAcentral.